GACGAGCCUGACAAACGUUGUUCGGAAUUACUGGGCGUAAAGAGUGUGUAGGCGGUGCUCUAAGUUUGUCGUGAAAUCUCCCGGCUUAACUGGGAGGGUGCGGCGAAAACUGGAGUGCUUGAGGGUGGGAGAGGUAAGCGGAAUUCCUGGUGUAGCGGUGAAAUGCGUAGAUAUCAGGAGGAACACCUGUGGUGUAGACAGCUUACUGGACCACUUCUGACGCUGAGACACGAAAGCGUGGGUAGCAAACAGG
This 253-nucleotide ribosomal RNA is filed under the name uncultured bacterium. RNAcentral describes it as "partial 16S ribosomal RNA". It matches the Rfam family "Bacterial small subunit ribosomal RNA", at positions 524 to 776 of the family's 1533-position model. The record is from RNAcentral.